CAAGAGCGUAUAUUAAAGUUGCUGCGGUUAAAAAGCUCGUAGUUGGAUUUCAGUCUAGGAAGGUUAACUCGCCGAAAGGUUGUACGUUGAUUUUCCUCAGACUUCGUCAGAAGCUCGUGCUGCACUUAACUGUGUGGUACGAUGUUCUGACCUUUUACCUUGAGGAAAGUAGAGCGUUUCAGGCAGGCUACCCAGCUUGAAUACAUUAGCAUGGAAUAAUGAAAUGGAUCUCGGUUCGAUUUCGUUGGUUCUAGAGCUGAGGUGAUGAUCAAUAGGAACAGGCGAAGGUAUUCGUACUUGAGAGUGAGGAGUGAAAUCCGAUGAUCUCUUAAAGACGAUCCGAGGCGAAAGCAUUUGUCAAGGAUGUUUUCAUUGA
RNAcentral lists this ribosomal RNA (376 nucleotides) under uncultured eukaryote. Its description in RNAcentral is "partial 18S ribosomal RNA". It matches the Rfam family "Eukaryotic small subunit ribosomal RNA", at positions 592 to 976 of the family's 1831-position model. The record is from RNAcentral.